RNAcentral lists this ribosomal RNA (1495 nucleotides) under metagenome. RNAcentral's name for it is "bacterial SSU rRNA". It matches the Rfam family "Bacterial small subunit ribosomal RNA". The record is from RNAcentral.
AGAGUUUGAUCCUGGCUCAGAUUGAACGCUGGCGGCAUGCCUUACACAUGCAAGUCGAACGGCAGCGGGGACUUCGGUCCGCCGGCGAGUGGCGAACGGGUGAGUAAAGUAUCGGAACGUACCUUUCAGUGGGGGAUAACGUAGCGAAAGUUACGCUAAUACCGCAUAUUCUGUGAGCAGGAAAGCAGGGGAUCGCAAGACCUUGCGCUGAUUGAGCGGCCGAUAUCAGAUUAGCUAGUUGGUGGGGUAAAGGCCUACCAAGGCGACGAUCUGUAGCGGGUCUGAGAGGAUGAUCCGCCACACUGGAACUGAGACACGGUCCAGACUCCUACGGGAGGCAGCAGUGGGGAAUUUUGGACAAUGGGGGCAGCCCUGAUCCAGCCAUGCCGCGUGAGUGAAGAAGGCCUUCGGGUUGUAAAGCUCUUUCGGCCGGGAAGAAAUCGCACAGGCUAAUACCCUGUGUGGAUGACGGUACCGGAAUAAGAAGCACCGGCUAACUACGUGCCAGCAGCCGCGGUAAUACGUAGGGUGCGAGCGUUAAUCGGAAUUACUGGGCGUAAAGCGUGCGCAGGCGGUUUCGUAAGACAGAGGUGAAAUCCCCGGGCUCAACCUGGGAACUGCCUUUGUGACUGCGAGGCUAGAGUACGGCAGAGGGGGGUGGAAUUCCACGUGUAGCAGUGAAAUGCGUAGAGAUGUGGAGGAACACCGAUGGCGAAGGCAGCCCCCUGGGCCGAUACUGACGCUCAUGCACGAAAGCGUGGGUAGCAAACAGGAUUAGAUACCCUGGUAGUCCACGCCCUAAACGAUGUCAACUAGGUGUUGGGUGGGUAAAACCAUUUAGUACCGUAGCUAACGCGUUAAGUUGACCGCCUGGGGAGUACGGCCGCAAGGUUAAAACUCAAAGGAAUUGACGGGGACCCGCACAAGCGGUGGAUGAUGUGGAUUAAUUCGAUGCAACGCGAAAACCUUACCUACCCUUGACAUGUCCAGAAGCCCGGAGAGAUUUGGGUGUGCCCGAAAGGGAGCUGGAACACAGGUGCUGCAUGGCUGUCGUCAGCUCGUGUCGUGAGAUGUUGGGUUAAGUCCCGCAACGAGCGCAACCCUUGUCGUUAAUUGCCAUCAUUUAGUUGGGCACUUUAACGAGACUGCCGGUGACAAACCGGAGGAAGGUGGGGAUGACGUCAAGUCCUCAUGGCCCUUAUGGGUAGGGCUUCACACGUCAUACAAUGGUCGGUACAGAGGGUUGCCAAGCCGCGAGGUGGAGCCAAUCCCAGAAAGCCGAUCGUAGUCCGGAUUGCAGGCUGCAACUCGCCUGCAUGAAGUCGGAAUCGCUAGUAAUCGCGGAUCAGCAUGUCGCGGUGAAUACGUUCCCGGGUCUUGUACACACCGCCCGUCACACCAUGGGAGCGGGUUCCGCCAGAAGUAGGUAGCCUAACCGCAAGGGGGGCGCUUACCACGGCGGGGUUCGUGACUGGGGUGAAGUCGUAACAAGGUA